AGAGUUUGAUCCUGGCUCAGGAUGAACGCUAAGGCUUAACACAUGCAAGUCGACGGCAGCGGACCUUCGGGUGCCGGCGUGUGGCGAACGGGUGAGUAAUAUAUCGGAACGUGCCUUUCAGUGGGGGAUAACGUAGCGAAAGUUACGCUAAUACCGCAUAUUCUCUGAGGAGGAAAGCAGGGGACCUUCGGGCCUUGCGCUGAUAGAGCGGCCGAUAUCAGAUUAGCUAGUUGGUGGGGUAAAGGCCUACCAAGGCGACGAUCUGUAGCGGGUCUGAGAGGAUGAUCCGCCACACUGGGACUGAGACACGGCCCAGACUCCUACGGGAGGCAGCAGUGGGGAAUUUUGGACAAUGGGCGAAAGCCUGAUCCAGCCAUGCCGCGUGAGUGAAGAAGGCCUUCGGGUUGUAGAGCUCUUUCGGCCGGGAAGAAAUCGCACAGGCUAAUACCUUGUGUGGAUGACGGUACCGGAAUAAGAAGCACCGGCUAACUACGUGCCAGCAGCCGCGGUAAUACGUAGGGUGCGAGCGUUAAUCGGAAUUACUGGGCGUAAAGCGUGCGCAGGCGGUUUGGUAAGACAGGCGUGAAAUCCCCGGGCUCAACCUGGGAACUGCGCUUGUGACUGCCUCACUAGAGUACGGCAGAGGGGGGUGGAAUUCCACGUGUAGCAGUGAAAUGCGUAGAGAUGUGGAGGAACACCGAUGGCGAAGGCAGCCCCCUGGGCCGAUACUGACGCUCAUGCACGAAAGCGUGGGUAGCAAACAGGAUUAGAUACCCUGGUAGUCCACGCCCUAAACGAUGUCAACUAGUUGUUGGGGGGGUAAAACCCUUUAGUAACGUAGCUAACGCGUGAAGUUGACCGCCUGGGGAGUACGGCCGCAAGGUUAAAACUCAAAGGAAUUGACGGGGACCCGCACAAGCGGUGGAUGAUGUGAUUAUUUCGAUGCAACGCGAAA
Molecule: ribosomal RNA, 955 nt
Filed under: uncultured beta proteobacterium
Lineage: Bacteria; Pseudomonadati; Pseudomonadota; Betaproteobacteria
Description: bacterial SSU rRNA
Rfam family: Bacterial small subunit ribosomal RNA
Source: RNAcentral